This 250-nucleotide ribosomal RNA is filed under the name uncultured bacterium. Its description in RNAcentral is "partial 16S ribosomal RNA". It matches the Rfam family "Bacterial small subunit ribosomal RNA", at positions 57 to 305 of the family's 1533-position model. The record is from RNAcentral.
GCAAGUCGAGCGGAAACGGAGAUAGCUUGCUAUCAGACGUCGAGCGGUGGCCGGGUGAGUAAUGCCUAGAUAUCUGCCUAGUCGUGGGGGCUAACAGUUGGAAACGACUGCUACUACCGCAUACGCCCUACGGGGGAAAGGAUGGGCCCUUCGUGCCUUUCGCGAUUAGAUGAGUCUAGGUGGGAUUAGCUAGUAGGUGAGGUAAUGGCUCACCUAGGCGACGAUCCCUAGCUGUUCUGAGAGGAUGAUC